Molecule: ribosomal RNA, 253 nt
Filed under: uncultured bacterium
Lineage: Bacteria
Description: partial 16S ribosomal RNA
Rfam family: Bacterial small subunit ribosomal RNA
Source: RNAcentral
UACAGAGGGGGCAAGCGUUGUUCGGAAUUACUGGGCGUAAAGGGCGCAUAGGCGGCCUGCUAAGUCGAACGUGAAAUCCCUGGGCUCAACCCAGGAACUGCGUCCGAUACUGGUUGGCUUGAAUCCGGGAGAGGGACGUGGAAUUCCAGGUGUAGCGGUGAAAUGCGUAGAUAUCUGGAGGAACACCGGUGGCGAAGGCGGCAUCCUGGACCGGCAUUGACGCUGAGGCGCGAAAGCUAGGGGAGCAAACGGG